AAGUUUUCCUUAUUGUAACUAUUUAACACGUUGAUUUAGACUAAUUUACCCUAAAAUUUGUAUGUACGAUGAAGUUUGCCUCUAUCUUUUAAGAUUCCUUCAUUCGGGUUAGCUUUGGCAGGAGGACGGACUAUAUAAUGAGGUGAUUCACCACCGGCGCGCAGUAGUCAUUGAGACACAGAGGGAGGAGGUGUUGCCGGUCGUCUUUCUCACCUGACCGGUGAUGUUUUUUAAAUCCAUAGAUGAUGACUUGAAGAUGGAGGAUGCAAGAAAUGAUAGUUUUCUUCUGGUGAACUCUCCCUGCACUGCACCAAAAAACGUCAGGUUCUGGACCUUAUUAAGGAGAGGUGUGCACUCUGCUGUACCACUCAUCUUGUACUGCUGUACCAGGAUGGCAAGUGAUUCACAACACAACUAAAGGAAGCAAGUGCCAAGAUACAGCCCAGACCCAGCCUUCCACCCCUCCUCUCUACCUCAGAAAUGUUCUGAACACUGGAGUGCUGUGCUGCCCUAGGCUGUGCUUACUGGCCACUGCCCUGUACUUGCUGCUGCCCUAGACUUCCCUGUACUUGCUUGCUACUGCCCUGGACGGCUCUGCUCUGUGUGUGCUGGCUGCUGUCCUAGACAUGACUGCUCUGCUCUGUGUGCUGCUGCCCUGGACGGCUCUGCUCUGUGCUUGCUGCUGCCCUGGAUGGCUCUGCUCUGUGCAUGCUGGCUGCUGCCCUGGAUGGCUCUGCUAUGUUCUGUGUGUGCUGCCCUGGAUGGCUCUGCUCUGUGCUUGCUGCCCUGGACUACAAAUUUAUAGAGCCAUUAAGUUUCCAUUAAUAAAUGUCUGAAUGUCA
RNAcentral lists this long non-coding RNA (842 nucleotides) under Homarus americanus (American lobster). RNAcentral's name for it is "uncharacterized LOC121863517, transcript variant X2". Lineage: Eukaryota; Metazoa; Arthropoda; Malacostraca; Decapoda; Nephropidae. The record is from RNAcentral.